This 23-nucleotide microRNA is filed under the name Daphnia pulex (common water flea). RNAcentral's name for it is "Dpu-Mir-305_3p* (star (passenger))". The record is from RNAcentral. RNAcentral also lists the same sequence under 1 other name. Lineage: Eukaryota; Metazoa; Arthropoda; Branchiopoda; Diplostraca; Daphniidae.
CGGCACCUGCUGGAGUGCAAUUG